RNAcentral lists this ribosomal RNA (372 nucleotides) under uncultured bacterium. RNAcentral's name for it is "bacterial SSU rRNA". It matches the Rfam family "Bacterial small subunit ribosomal RNA", at positions 524 to 898 of the family's 1533-position model. The record is from RNAcentral.
UACGUAGGGGGCAAGCGUUGUCCGGAUUCACUGGGUGUAAAGGGCGCGUAGGCGGGCUUGCAAGUCAGGGGUGAAAUCCUACGGCUUAACCGUAGAACUGCCUUUGAUACUGCAAGUCUUGAGUGCGGAAGAGAGAGACGGAAUUCCAGGUGUAGUGGUGAAAUACGUAGAUAUCUGGAAGAACACCAGUGGCGAAGGCGGUCUCUUGGUCCGUUACUGACGCUGAGGCGCGAAAGCGUGGGGAGCAAACAGGAUUAGAUACCCUGGUAGUCCACGCUGUAAACGAUGAAUACUAGGUGUUGGGUCAAUUGACUCAGUGCCGCAGCAAACGCAUUAAGUAUUCCACCUGGGGAGUACGAUCGCAAGGUUGAA